GAUGAACGCUGGCGGCGUGCUUAACACAUGCAAGUCGAACGGAAAGGCCGAAGCUUGCUUCGGUACUCGAGUGGCGAACGGGUGAGUAACACGUGGGUGAUCUGCCCUGUACUUCGGGAUAAGCUUGGGAAACUGGGUCUAAUACCGGAUAUGACGAUCUCUUGGAUGGGGUUGUGGAAAGCUUUUGCGGUAUGGGAUGAGCUCGCGGCCUAUCAGCUUGUUGGUGGGGUAAUGGCCUACCAAGGCGUCGACGGGGAGCCGGCCUGAGAGGGUGUACGGCCACAUUGGGACUGAGAUACGGGCCAGACUCCUACGGGAGGCAGCAGGGGGGAAUAUUGCACAAUGGGAGCAAGCCUGAUGGAGCGACGCCGCGUGGGGGAUGACGGCCUUCGGGUUGUAAACUCCUAUCGCAAUCGAAGAAGCCUUUUGGUGACGGUAGGUUGAGAAGAAGCACCGGCUAACUACGUG
Molecule: ribosomal RNA, 468 nt
Filed under: uncultured bacterium
Lineage: Bacteria
Description: partial 16S ribosomal RNA
Rfam family: Bacterial small subunit ribosomal RNA
Source: RNAcentral